AUAUUGCACAAUGGGGGAAACCCUGAUGCAGCCAUGCCGCGUGUGUGAAGAAGGCCUUCGGGUUGUAAAGCACUUUCAGCGAGGAGGAAAGGUUGAUGCCUAAUACGUAUCAACUGUGACGUUACUCGCAGAAGAAGCACCGGCUAACUCCGUGCCAGCAGCCGCGGUAAUACGGAGGGUGCAAGCGUUAAUCGGAAUUACUGGGCGUAAAGCGCACGCAGGCGGUUGGAUAAGUUAGAUGUGAAAGCCCCGGGCUCAACCUGGGAAUUGCAUUUAAAACUGUCCAGCUAGAGUCUUGUAGAGGGGGGUAGAAUUCCAGGUGUAGCGGUGAAAUGCGUAGAGAUCUGGAGGAAUACCGGUGGCGAAGGCGGCCCCCUGGACAAAGACUGACGCUCAGGUGCGAAAGCGUGGGGAGCAAACAGG
RNAcentral lists this ribosomal RNA (423 nucleotides) under uncultured bacterium. RNAcentral's name for it is "bacterial SSU rRNA". It matches the Rfam family "Bacterial small subunit ribosomal RNA", at positions 361 to 776 of the family's 1533-position model. The record is from RNAcentral.